AACGAACGCUGGCGGCAGGCUUAACACAUGCAAGUCGAGCGCCCCGCAAGGGGAGCGGCAGACGGGUGAGUAACGCGUGGGGACGUACCUUUUGGUUCGAAACAACUCCGGGAAACUGGAGCUAAUACCGGAUAAGCCCUAACGGGGAAAGAUUUAUCGCCGAAAGAUCGGCCCGCGUCUGAUUAGCUAGGUGGUGAGGUAACGGCACACCAAGGCGACGAUCAGUAGCUGGUCUGAGAGGAUGAGAAGCCACAAUGGGACUGAGACCCGGACCAGACUGCUACGGGAGGGAGCAGUGGGGAAUAUUGGACACUGGGCGCAAGCCCGAUCCAGCCAUGUGGGGUGAGUGAGGAAGGCGUUAGGGUUGUAAAGUCCUCUUGUCCGAGAAGAUAAUGACUGUACCGGAAGAAUAAGCCCCGGCUAACUUCGUG
Molecule: ribosomal RNA, 431 nt
Filed under: uncultured bacterium
Lineage: Bacteria
Description: partial 16S ribosomal RNA
Rfam family: Bacterial small subunit ribosomal RNA
Source: RNAcentral